This 352-nucleotide unclassified non-coding RNA is filed under the name soil metagenome. RNAcentral describes it as "partial contains 5.8S ribosomal RNA, internal transcribed spacer 2, and large subunit ribosomal RNA". The stretch from base 1 to 120 matches the Rfam family "5.8S ribosomal RNA", at positions 35 to 154 of the family's 154-position model. The record is from RNAcentral.
GAUGAAGAACGUAGCGAAAUGCGAUAAGUAAUGUGAAUUGCAGAAUUCAGUGAAUCAUCGAAUCUUUGAACGCACAUUGCGCCCGCCAGUAUUCUGGCGGGCAUGCCUGUUCGAGCGUCAUUACAACCCUCAGGCCCCCGGGCCUGGCGUUGGGGAUCGGCGGAGCCCCCCGUGGGCACACGCCGUCCCCCAAAUACAGUGGCGGUCCCGCCGCAGCUUCCAUCGCGUAGUAGCUAACACCUCGCGACUGGAGAGCGGCGCGGCCACGCCGUAAAACACCCGACUCUUCUGAAGUUGACCUCGAAUCAGGUAGGAAUACCCGCUGAACUUAAGCAUAUCAAUAAGCGGAGGA